RNAcentral lists this long non-coding RNA (640 nucleotides) under Volvox carteri. RNAcentral describes it as "long non-coding RNA (VCAR_LNC001838)". Lineage: Eukaryota; Viridiplantae; Chlorophyta; Chlorophyceae; Chlamydomonadales; Volvocaceae. The record is from RNAcentral.
CCGGUCAUCGCCGGACCGGCUGCCGGACCAAAAUAACCAGCUUCCAGUCCGACUGUGCAAGCGCCUCAUUCACUUGGCACCAAAUACAUUUUCUAUUAUUUUAGUCAAUACAAUUUUUUUUAUUUUCUGACGGACAUCUUGAUUUCGUGGACGAGCUCCAUUAAGCCUCCCGUUCGCUCAACCGUUCCAUCUAGCCUUCCAUGAAGCCUGAUUCCCAGCUCUAAAAUUAUCAGUCUUUGAUAUUGCUCAUAUACCUAACGUAGAUAUCAUAUAGCUGCGCGCAAUGGAGCAGAUGUAUGACAAUGCGCGCCAUGGCGGCAAUCUCGUAUGGGUCGCGGCUGCAGGGCAGGAGGUCGAGGAUGCAGUGGAGCAUGCAGUAGAGGAGCCGCCUCAGUAAGCUUACUUCAUCCUACUGUGCCUUGGUUUCAUGGUGGAUGGCGUUACUUCCUUGAGCUGGAGGCUAUUGUCACCCCUGUGCACCCUGAGAUGUACAAAUCUCCUGUAAAGGCAGAGCAAAAGGUGACUCUCCGAAGAGUUCUGGCUAGCGGGGCUGGGGAGGCGGCAGCAGCGGUGCAGAGUGGUGGAACGGGUGGCGGGGCUGGGGAGGCGGCAGCGGCGGUACAGACUAGGUGGAACAGGC